UGAGUGAUGAAGGCCUUAGGGUCGUAAAGCUCUUUCGCCAGAGAUGAUAAUGACAGUAUCUGGUAAAGAAACCCCGGCUAACUCCGUGCCAGCAGCCGCGGUAAUACGGAGGGGGUUAGCGUUGUUCGGAAUUACUGGGCGUAAAGCGCGCGUAGGCGGACUAGUCAGUCAGGGGUGAAAUCCCGGGGCUCAACCCCGGAACUGCCUUUGAUACUGCUAGUCUAGAGUUCGAGAGAGGUGAGUGGAAUUCCGAGUGUAGAGGUGAAAUUCGUAGAUAUUCGGAGGAACACCAGUGGCGAAGGCGGCUCACUGGCUCGAUACUGACGCUGAGGUGCGAAAGUGUGGGGAGCAAACAGGAUUAGAUACCCUGGUAGUCCACACCGUAAACGA
RNAcentral lists this ribosomal RNA (390 nucleotides) under uncultured bacterium. RNAcentral describes it as "bacterial SSU rRNA". It matches the Rfam family "Bacterial small subunit ribosomal RNA", at positions 402 to 809 of the family's 1533-position model. The record is from RNAcentral.